Oncorhynchus tshawytscha (Chinook salmon) is the source of this 3090-nucleotide long non-coding RNA. RefSeq lists it as uncharacterized. The record is from RefSeq and is a predicted model, not a curated record. The transcript has 2 exons. Lineage: Eukaryota; Metazoa; Chordata; Actinopteri; Salmoniformes; Salmonidae.
CACUAGACCGAAAAACAAUGAAGAAGUUAACUAUGAUGAGGAUCAGACAUUGAUCUAACUUUACUUUUCAACAGAUUCUCUCUUGCUGGCUGUACCAAUUGCAAAAUUCCCUUUGCAAUUGGUAUGGCCAAUUGGCUUUGACAGGAUGGGCAAACAUAAUUGAAACUAAUAUACUAUAUAGUGGUACUAUUAAGGAAUCAUCUACUACCAGCUGUAACCAUUCUGAUGGAUUGGCUGACAAAAGUUACAUUUUAAAACGCACAUCACCAUUUUUCUCUUUUGUGGUGCAGGGAAUAACACCUCCAUAGUUAACAUCUAUAUCUAAGAUAGAUAUCUCCCGCACAGGACUCCAGAAGAAGACUCCUGUUAUUUAUUCUUGUUCGUACUGCUACCUUGUGAGGUAACUAACCUAGGCCACCUUGCCAACCUCGCUCACACUACUGAAACGCUACACGCUGCCUGUUACCAAUCCAGCUAGGCCCAAAGGGCCACGCUCAUAAAUACACAGCAGGACAACUAUAUCAUACUGACAAAUCAACAACAGUUGUUGGGAGGAGUACAACAAACCGAGGAAAAUAGAAGUCGGACCAGCGGAGGUGUCUGCCGAGGGGGUUUGCGGUCUGUUUUCGUCUUGUGUGUCGGAGGCCAGUGGAAAGAGCUGCGGGGAAAGUCUGACACUUCCAUGUCGUUAAAAUGGCUGUAAAACCUGGAAGACCGCGACGCUCGUUCUUGGCAAAAGGCUGCCCUAGCUGAUUGCUGACUGGCUGGUCCUGGGGCUGGCGGAGGGUCAAUCUGAUCCUCUUCUUCCAACUCACUGUCAGACUCCAAAUUGACAGAGACAUGAUCCUCAUAUUCUGGAAAGUUCUUCAUCUUUCAAAAUGGAAGACGCUCCUUCCACACUAGCUUCUCCUCUGCAAAAAUUAUUUCCAAGGCCCUAUGAGCAAAGAUUCCUUUUGCCAUACUGAUUGUGGUUAGGGGCCACACAUGCAAAACUUUUUUUGUGUGUGUGUCCCUCUCCCAAUUUCCACCUGACUGGGGGAGAGUGUGGAUAAAUACUUUUUUAUUUUUUUAUUUUUUUUUACAAUAUAUCAAAAUAACGUACACCACAUAUGUAAUAGAAAUGUGUGGGGGUGCACUCAAUGAAAAUGUGUUAUUUUACAUGUUCGUCACAGAAAAUGAGCCAAGGCCAAUUAGUCUCAGGUUGAAAAAUUAUUAAUUGUAUCAUUUUUCUUUUAAUAAACAUUGAAAAUGGGUCCCAUAGAUCCGAACCCCACACAAGGGUUAAAUGAUCACAUUGAUAAGUCAUGUUCAAUGGGAUUUGUGGACUGUUGGGAUAUUUCCUAUUACCUUUUGGUAUGAGUGCUGCUCCUGUUAAGAACUAGAGCUGCCUGUUAAUCUUCGGACACACCGCGACAACGAAUUGCUAAAUGCAGCGGCUGGCCAUCCUAUUGCUUGCUGCUGUCGCAGUGUGUUAUAGCGACCACCUGCUGGCAAACCGUGGAUGUUUUUGGUAAUUUCAAUCAUCAGAAAAUGGCCAAUAUUCUGGUCUGGGGCACUCAACAGCACUCAACCUUCGAUCGUUCAGUUGUGUUUCUUCUCUUAGUGUUAUCAUACACUGAGUAGUGCCAGCAAUUAAAAGUGAGUCAUGGUGAUGUGUUUUGCUCUCUGGCCUUCAGCUGUGAAAACCAGGCCACUAGCGAGGCAUCACCGGGGUGAUCCUGCUUUCCCAGCUCCGUCACUGUGGCAACAAGUUAAACAAGAGGGGGAUAAAUAAUGUCUGGUGCUCCUCUGGAACAGUGCCUGGUUAGAGAACAGUGGAGGCUGGUGUCACUUUUAAAUCUCACCUCAUUGUAAAGGCUGGAACAGAAUGAAUGGAACAGUAUCAGUUUGUUUGAUACCCUUCCUUUCACUCUAUUCCAGACAUUACUAUAGCCCGUCUUUCCUUCACCAGCCCUGUACCAUCUCCUGUCCGCGACCUUGUCCCUGUCCCCUCUUCCUCUACAAUCUUCCCAUGCCCCCACAAUCUGGAGAUGCCUAUCAGUCUGAGGCUAAGCUGUAUUUAUCCUCCCUCCCGUCUCUCUCCAGUCUCUACCCCAUGCUGCCUUGUGGUUUCCCCCGGAGGUCGCACAGGGCUUGGGGCACACAUGGCCUAGUGGUCCCCUGGUGUGCCUGGUGGCGGUCCUGGUGGUCCGGUUGGCGGUGCCCCUUCCUGAGGAGGGCAGAGGCGGGAGGCGGCUCCGCGGCUGAGAUGUGGUUAAUUAGCCUGUGUAAUUAGAGCCCUGUGGGUGUCUGUCUGUCUGUCUGGUGCCUUUGAGGGCAUGUUGUGCCCGCUGGCUGCCAUGACAGGUGGUGGGCACCAGACAGGAACACCCAUCCCGGGACACCCACCCCACCACAGGAUGGUACCAGCCCAGUAUUUCUGGUUCCUUUGGGGGCAUUUUCCCCCUGGCAACCAUGAAGGUGGUGGGCGCUAAGCAGACACACACACACACACACCCUGGGAUGCUCAACACCGAUCUCACCCCAGCAGCGGGGGAUGCCACCCAGUCUGCCACCCUGCAUGGUGGCACUGUGACUUAAAAAAAGAUGUCGGCCUAAGUUCAACUUGAAGUUAGGGUGGUCCACUUCCUUAAAGAUGUCUGCGACACAUGAUACUGGAUGGGGGUACAGUAAGUCAUCCCUGUUGCAUGAAUGUGUGUUUAGCAUUCAAGUUUGAUGUCAUCUCUGUCAUCUCUGAUUUGUCACACACUGAUGGGUUAUCCAGCUUCUAGGUGCAGUCAAUACCUCAUGAAGCAUAUAGUUUUGUGUUGUUCAACACGUCUGUACAUUGGAGCCACCAAUUGUGAAGUAAGACUUGACGAUCUGAUAAUGUACAUACCAAUGGGGAUAAAAGAAAAUAAAUGUAGUUACAUUCAAACACAAGGAAAGCAGAGAAGAAGUAACGAGGGGAAAAAAACAUUGGAAUUUCUUCUCAGAUCUUCAGGGUUUCACAGCAAUUAUUGUGAAGUGUUACCAGAUGCUUUUAUCUUAUCCUUGAGCUUUGCUUUCCUUCAAGAUUUCUCAGAUUAAAAUAAAAUAUAUAUAUAUAUA